CAGCUACUCCCUCCGUUCAGAAUUACUUAUCACAAAAAAUGGAUGUAUCUACAACUAAAAUACAUCUAGAUACAUUCACUUCUUGGACGAGUAAUUCCGAACGGAGGGAGUAGUUA
Molecule: non-coding RNA, 116 nt
Organism: Triticum aestivum (bread wheat)
Lineage: Eukaryota; Viridiplantae; Streptophyta; Magnoliopsida; Poales; Poaceae
Source: Rfam